Paramuricea clavata is the source of this 624-nucleotide non-coding RNA. The record is from the annotation of a GenBank genome assembly. Lineage: Eukaryota; Metazoa; Cnidaria; Anthozoa; Malacalcyonacea; Plexauridae.
CCUAUAUGUAGCUCAAUUAUGACUGAAAUAAGCUCCCCGGGAUGUUACCGAAAUAUAUUAUUUAUGGUAACUCAAAUUUCUUGUUUCAAAACUGUAGCUCAGUUUGAUCGUGUUGGUCCUGACUUCUGGUCUGGAGAAAGUAAACCCUGGAGAAUAUGUCGUUCUUUUUGUUGGAAUAUUUGUGGGAAUAAUCUGGCUUAUCGUUGGUUACCUUGUGGUAGGUUAAACAUGUUGAUGUUUGUGGAAAGAUGUUGAUGUUUACAGCCUUUUAGAGUUGUAUUUCGCCCUAUGAGCCAAACACAAAUACCGGCUGUGGCAUGUGAUACACACAGAUUGAAGGUAUACCGUAGGUUUUUUUGUUGAAAACCAAGGAAUUUUUGACUUACUGCAAGUUACUGUAGAUCCACCAGCUCAUCUUGCUAAUCUCGUAAUACAUUAUUAUACUUUGUUUAGCCAAAAUACGAACAGAAGACAUGGCUAUAUGUGUUCUUAAUCCUCAGUCUUCCUCAGCCAGCUUAUGUUUUGUACAAGAUUAUCCAGGUAAUGGCCAAGCUCCUUUAGCUACCAGAUAGAAUCCAUUUCUAUUUUAUAUUUGUAUUUUUCUGUUAGAAAUCUCCAAUAUAC